CUGCAUGAGAGAAACUGUCAUUCCUCUUUCCUUUUAAGAAGUGAAUAUUCUUUCAAUGCUGUAAAAAUAAGGAGUUUUCAGGGCCACAUGCCUUGGAGCAGAGGCUGAGUGGUAGUGUAUUUUUCCUCCAUUA
This 133-nucleotide small nucleolar RNA is filed under the name Podarcis lilfordi (Lilford's wall lizard). Its description in RNAcentral is "Small nucleolar RNA U109". It matches the Rfam family "Small nucleolar RNA U109". The record is from Rfam by way of RNAcentral. Lineage: Eukaryota; Metazoa; Chordata; Lepidosauria; Squamata; Lacertidae.